This 905-nucleotide ribosomal RNA is filed under the name Lactococcus lactis subsp. lactis. RNAcentral describes it as "bacterial SSU rRNA". It matches the Rfam family "Bacterial small subunit ribosomal RNA", at positions 1 to 886 of the family's 1533-position model. The record is from RNAcentral. Lineage: Bacteria; Bacillati; Bacillota; Bacilli; Lactobacillales; Streptococcaceae.
UGAAAAGAAGAGAGGGGGACGACCUCGUCAGACGAACGCUGGCGGCGUGCCUAAUACAUGCAAGUUGAGCGCUGAAGGUUGGUACUUGUACCGACUGGAUGAGCAGCGAACGGGUGAGUAACGCGUGGGGAAUCUGCCUUUGAGCGGGGGACAACAUUUGGAAACGAAUGCUAAUACCGCAUAAAAACUUUAAACACAAGUUUUAAGUUUGAAAGAUGCAAUUGCAUCACUCAAAGAUGAUCCCGCGUUGUAUUAGCUAGUUGGUGAGGUAAAGGCUCACCAAGGCGAUGAUACAUAGCCGACCUGAGAGGGUGAUCGGCCACAUUGGGACUGAGACACGGCCCAAACUCCUACGGGAGGCAGCAGUAGGGAAUCUUCGGCAAUGGACGAAAGUCUGACCGAGCAACGCCGCGUGAGUGAAGAAGGUUUUCGGAUCGUAAAACUCUGUUGGUAGAGAAGAACGUUGGUGAGAGUGGAAAGCUCAUCAAGUGACGGUAACUACCCAGAAAGGGACGGCUAACUACGUGCCAGCAGCCGCGGUAAUACGUAGGUCCCGAGCGUUGUCCGGAUUUAUUGGGCGUAAAGCGAGCGCAGGUGGUUUAUUAAGUCUGGUGUAAAAGGCAGUGGCUCAACCAUUGUAUGCAUUGGAAACUGGUAGACUUGAGUGCAGGAGAGGAGAGUGGAAUUCCAUGUGUAGCGGUGAAAUGCGUAGAUAUAUGGAGGAACACCGGUGGCGAAAGCGGCUCUCUGGCCUGUAACUGACACUGAGGCUCGAAAGCGUGGGGAGCAAACAGGAUUAGAUACCCUGGUAGUCCACGCCGUAAACGAUGAGUGCUAGAUGUAGGGAGCUAUAAGUUCUCUGUAUCGCAGCUAACGCAAUAAGCACUCCGUCCUGGGAGAAGCCA